UCGACAGCGACCCCAGG
RNAcentral lists this ribosomal RNA (17 nucleotides) under Avicennia germinans (black mangrove). Its description in RNAcentral is "partial 23S ribosomal RNA". Lineage: Eukaryota; Viridiplantae; Streptophyta; Magnoliopsida; Lamiales; Acanthaceae. The record is from RNAcentral.